This 1424-nucleotide ribosomal RNA is filed under the name Microbacterium testaceum. Its description in RNAcentral is "bacterial SSU rRNA". It matches the Rfam family "Bacterial small subunit ribosomal RNA". The record is from RNAcentral. Lineage: Bacteria; Bacillati; Actinomycetota; Actinomycetes; Micrococcales; Microbacteriaceae.
CUGGCGGCGUGCUUAACCAUGCAAGUCGAACGGUGAAGCCAAGCUUGCUUGGUGGAUCAGUGGCGAACGGGUGAGUAACACGUGAGCAACCUGCCCUGGACUCUGGGAUAAGCGCUGGAAACGGCGUCUAAUACUGGAUAUGAGCUCCUUCCGCAUGGUGGGGGUUGGAAAGAUUUUUCGGUCUGGGAUGGGCUCGCGGCCUAUCAGCUUGUUGGUGAGGUAAUGGCUCACCAAGGCGUCGACGGGUAGCCGGCCUGAGAGGGUGACCGGCCACACUGGGACUGAGACACGGCCCAGACUCCUACGGGAGGCAGCAGUGGGGAAUAUUGCACAAUGGGCGGAAGCCUGAUGCAGCAACGCCGCGUGAGGGAUGACGGCCUUCGGGUUGUAAACCUCUUUUAGCAGGGAAGAAGCGAAAGUGACGGUACCUGCAGAAAAAGCGCCGGCUAACUACGUGCCAGCAGCCGCGGUAAUACGUAGGGCGCAAGCGUUAUCCGGAAUUAUUGGGCGUAAAGAGCUCGUAGGCGGUUUGUCGCGUCUGCUGUGAAAUCCCGAGGCUCAACCUCGGGCCUGCAGUGGGUACGGGCAGACUAGAGUGCGGUAGGGGAGAUUGGAAUUCCUGGUGUAGCGGUGGAAUGCGCAGAUAUCAGGAGGAACACCGAUGGCGAAGGCAGAUCUCUGGGCCGUAACUGACGCUGAGGAGCGAAAGGGUGGGGAGCAAACAGGCUUAGAUACCCUGGUAGUCCACCCCGUAAACGUUGGGAACUAGUUGUGGGGACCAUUCCACGGUUUCCGUGACGCAGCUAACGCAUUAAGUUCCCCGCCUGGGGAGUACGGCCGCAAGGCUAAAACUCAAAGGAAUUGACGGGGACCCGCACAAGCGGCGGAGCAUGCGGAUUAAUUCGAUGCAACGCGAAGAACCUUACCAAGGCUUGACAUAUACGAGAACGGGCCAGAAAUGGUCAACUCUUUGGACACUCGUAAACAGGUGGUGCAUGGUUGUCGUCAGCUCGUGUCGUGAGAUGUUGGGUUAAGUCCCGCAACGAGCGCAACCCUCGUUCUAUGUUGCCAGCACGUAAUGGUGGGAACUCAUGGGAUACUGCCGGGGUCAACUCGGAGGAAGGUGGGGAUGACGUCAAAUCAUCAUGCCCCUUAUGUCUUGGGCUUCACGCAUGCUACAAUGGCCGGUACAAAGGGCUGCAAUACCGUAAGGUGGAGCGAAUCCCAAAAAGCCGGUCCCAGUUCGGAUUGAGGUCUGCAACUCGACCUCAUGAAGUCGGAGUCGCUAGUAAUCGCAGAUCAGCAACGCUGCGGUGAAUACGUUCCCGGGUCUUGUACACACCGCCCGUCAAGUCAUGAAAGUCGGUAACACCUGAAGCCGGUGGCCCAACCCUGUGGAGAGAAGCAUAAUGAAAAAACGGUAU